AUGCAGCCCACGAUGAUUCCUCUUCACUCAGUGUGCCAUGGGUUGGACACACAUGUUGUACAGCACAGAGACAAGUGCAGAAGAGAAAAUGAUGCUACAGCAGGUGAUAAUUCAGGACGUAGAAGAGAAAUAGAACAGUUAUCUCCCAGGCCUAACUGGUGGAGCUGCACGGCCCAAACUGGUUGUGUCCCAAGCCCUUUGUGUAUGACACAAAGCCUCACUGCCCCAUUGCCUUCCAUGACCCCAAGGCAGCAGGAGUACACGGGCUACAGUGUUCAGCUCCCCAAGGCUGGGGCUGAUCCUUUCCGUGGUGCCAGGAUGUCACAGGUGAUGGCAACCAGCACCAAGGCAUGGCAUGGCCCAACGAGAGGCAUCUCAGAUGGCCAUUAAGCUCUUGCUGGAUUUCAUUAUUUCUAUGGACAAGAGAGCAGCCUGAAACGCAGCUGCUGAGCGUCAGUUCGUAGGAACUGUAUCUACACUGCAGUCCUCUGCUGACAUUGCUGCAUUAGCAGAGGUGAGAAGCGGAGCGGUGAAACUGGGCCAACAAAACGUUUCAUGUAGCAGCACUUAAACUGGCAAAGCUGUGAUUAGCAGGAACGUCUUGCUCAUGUGAGGUAAUUUUAUUAUGCUAUUUUAGCAGGCAGCAUUGAGAAGAUGACCUUGUCCAUGCUAAGAGGACACAGCUGCAUCUCUGGCAGAGCAUGCUGAGCCCCGACCUGCGAGGGAAGGACCAGGUGUGCUGGAGCCUCACAAAGCCCAUGUGCUACCUGCCUCCCAAAUGUGGAGUAUUUUAGGGGAAAAAAAGAAAAGUUCAUGAAAAGAUGGCAUUUGGUCACUCUCUGAGGACUCAGGGGACAGAUGAGAGGAAAGCAGUUGGACUUGAUGGAGGUUUCCAUGCCAGAUGCUAGAAGAGCAAUGCAGCUGUAGGUGUGGCACUGGAGCUGGCGGCUGGGGAUGGGCAGAGAGCCACUGACACUGCUGAGAGUGUCCAAGGGCACUAAUGUGCCUUUUCUUGAAGGCUGUGGUGUGGACCAGUGCUCCUCAAGACCCCCUCCGACUUGUGACCGCAUCAGCAUCCCAGUCCCACGGGCAGCCCUUACUGCAGAGCACCCAUCCUCCACCCCUUAUUUGGAUCCGUUUCCCUCUUAAACAAAGAUCACAUUAUCACAUGACGCAAACCAAACAUCACCAAAAGGCAGAGAGUGAACAAACAGACUGAGCGGAGGGCAUCCCAACCCACCGCUCUCCUUAUCUGCCUCCGAUCAGGGCAGUGCGCUGCAGUCCCUGAGGGGUGGAGCAGCAUCUCAAGUACAUACCUGGUUUUGAUGUUAUUUGUUUUUUGUUUUUGGGGUUUUUUUAAUCAUGCUGCUGAGGUAAUGAGGGUUCCAGGCUCUAAAUAUCACUUGAAGUCAGGGACAAACUGGCAUUAAUGACAGGGAGAGGGCAGCAUCCAGGUGGGUGCUUUGGUUCAGGAACGUUGCUCCUCUGCUACUGCACCCUGCAGGUGCUCAGAGCCAAUUUUGCAUUUUCCCAGAGACCUUUUCUAGUUGUUGGGACCUUUUUGCCUGCUGGAAAGGCAGAGCAGACUUUUUGAAGUGGACAGAGUGAGGCACAGCACAAGCCCAGUCUGCUGGCACUGGUCUCUGGUUGAGCAUGGCACUGUGCACCCCAAAGGAGAGCACUGGGUGCUGCGUAUUGCCCAUCUCAAAUCCCCCAUUUUGUGCACCAGGAGAAGGACCCAGGGCAGAGGCACGUCCUCUAUGCCCACUCCUUGCUCUCCAGGCUGUGGCCACAGCUAAUCCUUGUGAGAUCAUCACACAGAACCUGUUCAGCUGUAAAUCGCUUCCUGCUGAGCACCCAUAAUACACAGAUUGGAGGUAACUUUACUCCAGAGAGCCAAUUAGUGCAAAUCUAGACCUGGUAAUUACAGCGUGAUAAGAUCCCGGCUGCUGAUAUCUCUGGGCAGAUAAGGCACCAGGAAGCAAUCUCCUAACGCAAUCGCAGUGAUUAUUAAAGCUUCACCUCCGUCCCACAAAGCCCUGGGGAGGUUUAGCACCAGCUCUAUGCUUAUGGCACCAAGAGCAAGCUGCUGCUCCAGGAACAAGGCAGGAGCAGGAGGGAAGAGCUGC
Long non-coding RNA from Meleagris gallopavo (turkey), 2129 nucleotides. NCBI's taxonomy places the organism in Eukaryota, Metazoa, Chordata, Aves, Galliformes, Phasianidae. The record is from Ensembl.